Molecule: ribosomal RNA, 433 nt
Filed under: uncultured bacterium
Lineage: Bacteria
Description: partial 16S ribosomal RNA
Rfam family: Bacterial small subunit ribosomal RNA
Source: RNAcentral
AACGAACGCUGGCGGCAUGCCUAACACAUGCGAGUCGAACGAGACCUUCGGGUCUAGUGGCGCACGGGUGCGUAACGCGUGGGAACCUGCCCUUAGGUUCGGAAUAACUCCCCGAAAGGGGUGCUAAUACCGGAUAAUGUCUUCGGACCAAAGAUUUAUCGCCUUUGGAUGGGCCCGCGUUGGAUUAGCUAGUUGGUAGGGUAAAAGCCUACCAAGGCGACGAUCAAUAGCUGGUCUGAGAGGAUGAUCAGCCACACUGGGACUGAGACACGGCCCAGACUCCUACGGGAGGCAGCAGUGGGGAAUAUUGGACAAUGGGCGAAAGCCUGAUCCAGCAAUGCCGCGUGAGUGAUGAAGGCCUUAGGGUUGUAAAGCUCUUUUACCCGGGAUGAUAAUGACAGUACCGGGAGAAUAAGCUCCGGCUAACUCCGUG